This 497-nucleotide ribosomal RNA is filed under the name uncultured bacterium. RNAcentral describes it as "partial 16S ribosomal RNA". It matches the Rfam family "Bacterial small subunit ribosomal RNA", at positions 28 to 507 of the family's 1533-position model. The record is from RNAcentral.
GAUGAACGCUGGCGGCGUGCCUAAUACAUGCAAGUCGAGCGAACGGACGAGAAGCUUGCUUCUCUGAUGUUAGCGGCGGACGGGUGAGUAACACGUGGAUAACCUACCUAUAAGACUGGGAUAACUUCGGGAAACCGGAGCUAAUACCGGAUAAUAUUUUGAACCCCAUGGUUCAAAAGUGAAAGACGGUCUUGCUGUAACUUUUAGAUGGAUCCGCGCUGCAUUAGCUAGUUGUUAAGUUAACGGCUUACCAAGGCAACGAUGCAUAGCCGACCUGAGAGGGUGAUCGGCCACACUGGAACUGAGACACGGUCCAGACUCCUACGGGAGGCAGCAGUAGGGAAUCUUCCGCAAUGGGCGAAAGCCUGACGGAGCAACGCCGCGUGAGUGAUGAAGGUCUUCGGAUCGUAAAACUCUGUUAUUAGGGAAGAACAUAUGUGUAAGUAACUGUGCACAUCUUGACGGUACCUAAUCAGAAAGCCACGGCUAACUACGUG